UUUCUGCAGGGGACGACCGGUCCGCCCUCUGGGUGAGUAUCUGGCUUGGCCUUUGCAUCUUCUUGGAGAACGUAGCUGCACUUGACUGUGUGGUGCGGUAUCCUUGACUUUUACUUUGAGGAAAUUAGAGUGUUUCAAGCAGGCAUACGCCUUGAAUACAUUAGCAUGGAAUAAUAAGAUAGGACCUCGGUUCUAUUUUGUUGGUUUCUAGAGCUGAGGUAAUGAUUAAUAGGGAUAGUUGGGGGCAUUCGUAUUUAACU
This 260-nucleotide ribosomal RNA is filed under the name uncultured dinoflagellate. Its description in RNAcentral is "partial 18S ribosomal RNA". The stretch from base 52 to 260 matches the Rfam family "Eukaryotic small subunit ribosomal RNA", at positions 693 to 903 of the family's 1831-position model. Lineage: Eukaryota; Dinophyceae. The record is from RNAcentral.